CUGUCGAUGAUUCUAACUCUCUAAUCAGCCAUGAAUCAAGCCCCACGUCUCUAUUUCCUCCCAUACCACUUCACCUCUAACCCUACAUCAUCUCCGCUUCUCUCUCCAUAGUCAAGUUAAACCGCUCCCCUUGACCAAGGAAUCCCUUGUUUUGUUUUCCUUCUUCCCACGGUGUCGGAAAUUCGGAGGUAACUGAGAGGCUUGAACUCAUAUAUUAUUUUGUUUUGGGUUUUUUUACCUUCCUUGAUCAAGCUUUGAACAAUCUUUUUCUUGAAUCUAGAAGUUUUUGACGGUGAUGCUUUGACGGUGGCGAAAACUAUAUUCUAUCCUUUAGUCAUUCUUACCUGUUUAACAAAGGUAAGGGAUCCCUAAUUCACCCUCCCUUAUAAGUCGUUUGUUCCUGUAAACUUGUUGGAAGUCAUUCCACUAGAUCAUUAAUCUCCUUGAAUUCUAGGGACCAUAUUACAUCGACGGCACGUUCAUUCUUGAGCCCGAAUUCCGGAGCAACCCAAGUCGAUCUAUUAUCAUGCUUAGCCUCGGAAGCAGGUCAGGCAAUGGUUCCUAUUUUUUCUUUCCAAUUUUCCUUUGCCAAAAUUCUGGAAAUCCUUCAAGAUUAUUGGGGAAGAUGACCAGCGAAUGUCUGUGGCAACAUCUGGACUUUCAGUGAUUGCAUUUCAAUCACUGCACUUCCAAAAAUUAGAAUUAGUACCUCUUGUCUUUGUAAAUUUCUUGAUGUAAACAAACUAUUGAAAUCUGACAGUUCAGUAAUUAAGUUUUUUCCAGUAGCUAUCGCGUCCUUGAAAUUUCUAGUCG
RNAcentral lists this long non-coding RNA (813 nucleotides) under Linum usitatissimum (flax). RNAcentral describes it as "long non-coding RNA (LUSI_LNC004936)". Lineage: Eukaryota; Viridiplantae; Streptophyta; Magnoliopsida; Malpighiales; Linaceae. The record is from RNAcentral.